Molecule: ribosomal RNA, 870 nt
Filed under: Pyxine sorediata
Lineage: Eukaryota; Fungi; Ascomycota; Lecanoromycetes; Caliciales; Caliciaceae
Description: eukaryotic LSU rRNA
Rfam family: Eukaryotic large subunit ribosomal RNA (bases 384-870)
Source: RNAcentral
CCCCGCGCGAACGCCCGCUAGAGGCUAAGUAAAUCCUGCUAUCAGUGAAGUCCGAGUAAAUUCAAAUAAUUAAAAAACUUUCAACAACGGAUCUCUUGGUUCUGGCAUCGAUGAAGAACGCAGCGAAAUGCGAUAAGUAAUGUGAAUUGCAGAAUUCAGUGAAUCAUCGAAUCUUUGAACGCACAUUGCGCCCUCUGGUAUUCUGGGGGGCAUGCCUGUUCGAGCGUCAUUGCAAUCUCAAGCCUGGCUUGGUUAUGAGCAUCGCCCUCCCCGGCGAGCCCGAAAUAUAGUGGCUGUCCAGCGAGACCUCAAGCGAACAAGAUACCUAUCGCGCUUUCGAUCGUCUCCGCUGCGACGUGCCUUGCCCCUAAAUUUUCCACGAUUGACCUCGGAUCAGGUAGGGAUACCCGCUGAACUUAAGCAUAUCAAUAAGCGGAGGAAAAGAAACCAACAGGGAUUGCCUCAGUAACGGCGAGUGAAGCGGCAACAGCUCAAAUUUGAAAUCUGGCCCUCCCGGGGUCCGAGUUGUAAUUUGGAGAGGGUGUUUUGGGUGAGGCGCCGGCCUAAGUCCCUUGGAACAGGGCGUCCGAGAGGGUGAGAAUCCCGUAUGCGGCCGGUGACCGAUCCUGUGUAAAACCCCUUCGACGAGUCGAGUUGUUUGGGAAUGCAGCUCUAAAUGGGUGGUAAAUUUCAUCUAAAGCUAAAUACCGGCCAGAGACCGAUAGCGCACAAGUAGAGUGAUCGAAAGAUGAAAAGCACUUUGGAAAGAGAGUUAAAAAGUACGUGAAAUUGUUGAAAGGGAAGCGCUUGCAACCAGACCUGUCGUCGGGUGAUCAGCCGCCGUUCUCGGCGGUGCACUCAUCCGUUCGC